Molecule: transfer RNA, 77 nt
Filed under: Aeromonas sp. MrichA-1
Lineage: Bacteria; Pseudomonadati; Pseudomonadota; Gammaproteobacteria; Aeromonadales; Aeromonadaceae
Description: tRNA-Pro
Rfam family: tRNA
About the family: Transfer RNA (tRNA) molecules are approximately 80 nucleotides in length. Their secondary structure includes four short double-helical elements and three loops (D, anti-codon, and T loops). Further hydrogen bonds mediate the characteristic L-shaped molecular structure. tRNAs have two regions of fundamental functional importance: the anti-codon, which is responsible for specific mRNA codon recognition, and the 3' end, to which the tRNAs corresponding amino acid is attached (by aminoacyl-tRNA synthetases). tRNAs cope with the degeneracy of the genetic code in two manners: having more than one tRNA (with a specific anti-codon) for a particular amino acid; and 'wobble' base-pairing, i.e. permitting non-standard base-pairing at the 3rd anti-codon position.
Source: RNAcentral
CGGUAAUUAGCGCAGUCAGGUAGCGCACCUGCUUUGGGAGUAGGUUGUCGAAGGUUCGAAUCCUUCAUUACCGACCA